UCUUAACUCUAGAGCAUUUAUUGGUAGGCCUCAUUAUAAAUUUCCUUCAAAUACAAGAAUAAUAAUACAGCAUUAUAUUAUUCAUGGACGUCUAAAACAAUGCUUCCAUCAUCAUGCACUCCUAUAACUUCGUAUUUGUUGUAUAUCUAUAUUAUUGUAAAACUAUAUCACAACUUUUUUUUAAAUUUUAUGUACUAUAUAUUAACUGACAUAUAGCUAUCGUUUGAAUUUAAUAUUUGCUGUAAUAGGGGCCUUGCACUAAAAACUUCUUAAAGUUUCUUAAAGGCUCCUAGCUCUAGUAUUCAACUGACGUUAUACUGUAUAUUCUAUCUUAAUUAUGUAAAUAGGGCGAAUUUUUAAAUUAAAAAAAAAAAAUAAUGAUCCUGUUCUGCUGGUUUAUUCAUAGAUUCUCCAUGUAUCUUAAUACUGUUUUAUGGUCGUUUCGUCCCCUUGUUGUUUCGCCCCCUCUCCGUUUCGUCCCCUUUACGUUUCGUCCCCACAUUAGAUACCGUUUUAUCUAUAAACCACUUUAUAUUACUUUUUCUAUGAACUAUAUAUACAUAGGAUAUAUUUAUAUUUGUUUCUACUUUGAUCACUCAUAAUUUUGUCAUCAUGUCACUAUUAUAAACAAUACGAUGACCGAAACGAAACGGUCCCACGUGUAUUAUCCAGGCAUACAAUCCACUGAGAUACAAUCUCAUAAAACAGAAUUAUGAUCAAUACAAGAAAGUGUUGCAUCCAUAACAGAAUAAAAAAGCUUGCUGUCACUGAGUCAUGCAGUCAGGGCCGCGUUUACACAACUCGAGGCCUGUGGCAUUUUCUUCGCGCGGGGCCUCAAAUUUUUGCCUUAUAGACUAUAACCUGGAAAUUUACUUCGUUUUAAGCAUAAAUCAUAUAGCGACGUGGCGUUCGCUUUCCAUAUAGCAACUCUAAAGUCUGAGACAAAAUUAGAGACUUGGUAUUUGAAAUUAAC
Paramuricea clavata is the source of this 973-nucleotide non-coding RNA. The record is from the annotation of a GenBank genome assembly. NCBI's taxonomy places the organism in Eukaryota, Metazoa, Cnidaria, Anthozoa, Malacalcyonacea, Plexauridae.